ACAAACUGAAGACAAACAACGAAGACAUAAAGCUUCAAAACCAGUAUAAUGAAGUUACUGCUCCUACUCAUCCUCUCUCUGACCACAGGUCGUGAAUCUGAAGUGAGAGCAUGUCACCAUCGAUGGGCUGAAAUCACCUGCAAAUAUCCUGAAACAAAUAACAUAUAUCAGUACAUUGAUGUAGUUCUUUCCAGUGGAACACCUGUACAAAGCUUUAAGAAGGACGUGUGGGAAGAAAAUGGUAGAUUUUGCCUCUACCAUGAUACAAAAAAUAAAAAUCUCAAGGUUGCAAUAAAACAUGUUAAAGAGCAAGAGUUUGGGAAGUACAGGUGCAGGUUUUUCCAAAGAUCGAACUCAUCUGACAUACAGGAAGGAAAACUGGAGACCGAGCAUGUAAACUGCCCGCGAACAUUUCUCAGCGUGUACAGAACAGCUAACAGCACCAUCACAUGUGAUUAUCCAGAUGUUUACGCGUCCCACAUAAAGUUCUUCUGUAAAAAGAAACGUUUUACCUGUGAGGACAUUUUAUCAACGUCAAAAGGGAAGUUUACUCUCACAGGCAGCAGCCGUGCCUUGAACAUUUCCAUCAGUCAUGCGACCUCACAGGAUGCUGGUGAUUACUGGUGUGGAGUGGAAUCAAAUGAUGGAAGUUACAGAUUAUCACACACACAAGUAAACCUGAAAGUUAUAGAUAUUGAACCUUUGACAUCAACUAUUGGACAGAACUUCACUUACCAGUGUAAGUACAACCGGGAUGCCUCCUCAUGUAUAAAAUUCAUCUGCAAAGGAGAAGAUUCAACUGUAUGCAAACAGCUAGUAACCACCACAGAGCCUGACGUGAACCAGAGGUUUAUAAUGAAAGAGAACAGCGGGAGUAUCACCAUUACAGUGAGAGAAGUAACAGCAAACGAUAGUGGGAUAUACUGGUGUGGAGCAAGAGUCCCUCACAAAGACAAUCAAACACAUGACGACUUCUUUGAUGGAUUUAAUUUGACUCUAGGGACCAAAUCACCUGCUCGAAGAUCAUCAGACAGAGAUGAAUGUGUUUAAUGAGUCUUUAUUUAUUUGUGUUCACAUUCAAAUCACAUACCAAAAAAUACAAAUUAGAUUUUAAACCAUGUUUGAACACAUUAACAAUGCAUUUUCCAUUUGUUAUUAUAGAGCUUUUGCCUGUAACAGAAACAGGUCUUCUAACCACAGCAACCACCCCAGCUCCUCAGAGUUCUGGUGAGAGACUUUAUUUAAUUUAUUUAAUAUCUUAAAUCUGCUAUGAAGGCAAGUGCUGAAGCUGGAUUAAGAUGUUCACACUGUUUAUGAAAACGUAGAAAUAAACUGAUGAUGUGAAAGUCUUAAAACUUUCAAAAGGUUUAUCUUUCCUAUGUUCUUCAGCACCGGCAGUUGAACAAUAAUGUCAUGCUGAAUAAUUUUCUGGUCUAAAUUUCUGUGAUGUAGUGAUGACCUUGAUCCUAUGUGUGGCUGUGUUGCAGCUGAUGUUUGCAAUCAUUUUAUUCCUUAUCUAUAAACGAGUCUCACAUUUAAAAAAUGCUGAAAAUGGAGCUGGAGCAUCGUAUGUCAAACAGGAUAAUGGCAACAACAAAUACCUUGAGGUCUGUGCUGGUGAGGAUACACAGGAGCACCUUCAGGUGUCAGAGUCAGAAAAUGCAGCAAACUCAAUUUAAGUUAGAGCCAACCUUCACUCUGUGCUUUCUCGCCACAUUAUGCAAACAUCAACUUUCAAAGCUGUUCUGUCAAAGCUGCUGGUGAGGUACUCAAACCCAGCUCCUCAGCCUGUGAAUGUUCUACUGUGGAGUUCAGCAAAUGUUCAACCAGCCCGACUUGCCUUUCUAUCAGCUAAAACAACAAAGAGGAAUGUUUUUCUGAUUACUGCGCAUUGCCAAAAAAUGAGGUUUAAAGUUAACACAGCCAAACAAGAAAUACUUUUUAUUCUCAGAGUUCAUAACAGAGUUGGGCAAAAAUAAAUAUCAUUUUUAAAAAUACUGCCCUUUGUUCCUAGAAUAGUCUGUAGAACAAAAUAAAACUGUUAGAACUUGUUACUGUGACUUAAUAUACUUAAUAGUUUAAGUCAAUUUAAAGGAUCAACAAAAUAGAUAUGAGACAACGAGAUUACUCUUAAAAUUGAUUUGAAAUUCAUUGUUUUGUGGUUGGGUAUGGGCUGGUUGUAUUCACUCACACAUGUACUGUUUAGCAGCUGUAUUUGUGUGACAGCUGAUUUUUGUAAUUGUUACAAUUUCUCCUCCUCUCUUGGGCACAUAAAAUGUUACUAAAUAAGGAGAAAUAAAAAACACAAAGAAUUUAACACCCUGCUUCUGGCUUGAUAAGCAAAAGAAAUUCCAUAGAAAUUCCUCGAACACGUUUUAAGACCAGAGGAGACGUUUUAGAGCGGUGGCCCCCAGGUUGUGGAAUGCGCUCCCUCCAUCAUUACGUUGCCUUGAUUGUAUUUAUUCUUUUAAAAAGCAGCUUAAGACUCAUUUGUGCUGAACGUUUGACUGUGCUGUUUUUAUGUAUAUCUGUUUUUAUAUUACUGCGAAGCACUUUGUGGUU
Astatotilapia calliptera (eastern happy) is the source of this 2562-nucleotide long non-coding RNA. NCBI's taxonomy places the organism in Eukaryota, Metazoa, Chordata, Actinopteri, Cichliformes, Cichlidae. The record is from Ensembl.